UGUUGGUUUCAAAAUGUUAAGCUAGCUUGUUUAGCACUCGUGGAACGGGGUCAGAUGUAAAAUAAUUUUAAAAUAGAAUGUUGGAAGAUUUUUUUUUCGAUAGAUACCGGGACAACCACCCGUAAAAAUGGCACAUGCAUCUGUAUUUAAUUAUUUGCGUGUGUGUGUGAGAAAUGUAUUUUAAUUUCUUUAUUUAACUUGAAAUGUUUGUAAAGGUUUUAUCACUGAACUAACAUGAAUUUUCUUUUAAGUGUGUGUGUGUGUGUAAAAAAAAUCGCUUUCUGCUUCGUGUCAAGUUCCAAUUUUGUAAUUAGAUUACGUUAAUGAUCCUCAAAUACUACUUUAAAGAUUGACAGUUACUCUUAUUUCUGUUCUAAAUGUAGAAAUGUGCUAGUGCUCAGUGCAGGGCUUAUCUUUCUCGUGGAAUACAGGGCCAAAUCCACUUGUACUCCCUGUGGUGUUAUGCUAUCACUGAAUUAAAGUUUCAAAAGUGCAGUCCAUUUAUUAAGUACAAUUCAGUUGUAUUUGUCUUAUUACAAUACAUUUUCUUUUAAUUUUUCUUUUCAAACAUUUAUUUAUGUACAGGUGAAGUGUUAAUGCUCAAAUUGUGCAUUAUGUUCAGAAAUAAAAAAAAUGACUGGGUUGACAA
Long non-coding RNA from Hippocampus comes (tiger tail seahorse), 649 nucleotides. RefSeq lists it as uncharacterized. The record is from RefSeq and is a predicted model, not a curated record. Lineage: Eukaryota; Metazoa; Chordata; Actinopteri; Syngnathiformes; Syngnathidae. The transcript has 2 exons.